GAUGAAGAACGUAGCGAAAUGCGAUAAGUAGUGUGAAUUGCAGAAUUCAGUGAAUCAUCGAAUCUUUGAACGCACAUUGCGCCCCUCGGUAUUCCGUGGGGCAUGCCUGUUCGAGCGUCAUUUAACCCCUCAAGCCUAGCUUGGUAUUGGGUGCUUGUACCGCCUCUCGCGCGGCGACUCACCUCAAAGUCAUUGGCAGCCCGCAUCUCGCCGGCCGUGAGCGCAGCACAGACGCGCUCUUGGCAACGACGGAUCGGCUCUCCAAAAGCUUAUUUCAACCACUGACCUCGGAUCAGGUAGGGAUACCCGCUGAACUUAAGCAUAUCAAUAAGCGGAGGA
RNAcentral lists this unclassified non-coding RNA (339 nucleotides) under soil metagenome. RNAcentral's name for it is "partial contains 5.8S ribosomal RNA, internal transcribed spacer 2, and large subunit ribosomal RNA". The stretch from base 1 to 120 matches the Rfam family "5.8S ribosomal RNA", at positions 35 to 154 of the family's 154-position model. The record is from RNAcentral.